Molecule: ribosomal RNA, 252 nt
Filed under: uncultured bacterium
Lineage: Bacteria
Description: partial small subunit ribosomal RNA
Rfam family: Bacterial small subunit ribosomal RNA
Source: RNAcentral
AGGACGAACGCUGGCGGCGUGCUUAACACAUGCAAGUCGAGCGGAAAGGCCCUUCGGGUACUCGAGCGGCGAACGGGUGAGUAACACGUGAGUAAUCUGCCCCUAGCUCUGGGAUAGCUCCGGGAAACCGGGAUUAAUACCAGAUACGACCACUUUAGACAUCUGUUGUGGUGGAAAGAAUUUGGCUAGGGAUGAGCUCGCGGCCUAUCAGCUUGUUGGUGAGGUAACGGCUCACCAAGGCGACGACGGGUA